Molecule: ribosomal RNA, 465 nt
Filed under: uncultured bacterium
Lineage: Bacteria
Description: partial 16S ribosomal RNA
Rfam family: Bacterial small subunit ribosomal RNA
Source: RNAcentral
GAUGAACGCUGGCGGCGUGCUUAACACAUGCAAGUCGAACGGAAAGGCUCCUGCUUGCAGGGGUACUCGAGUGGCGAACGGGUGAGUAACACGUGGGUGAUCUGCCCUGCACUUCGGGAUAAGCCUGGGAAACUGGGUCUAAUACCGGAUAGGACCACAUUUUGGAUGGUGUGGUGGAAAGUUUUUCGGUGUGGGAUGAGCUCGCGGCCCAUCAGCUUGUUGGUGGGGUAAUGGCCCACCAAGGCGUCGACGGGUAGCCGGCCUGAGAGGGUGUACGGCCACAUUGGGACUGAGAUACGGCCCAGACUCCUACGGGAGGCAGCAGUGGGGAAUAUUGCACAAUGGGCGCAAGCCUGAUGCAGCGACGCCGCGUGGGGGAUGACGGCCUUCGGGUUGUAAACUCCUUUCGCUAGGGACGAAGCGCAAGUGACGGUACCUGGAGAAGAAGCACCGGCUAACUACGUG